CGCGAAUAGCUCAUUACAACAGCCAUUGUUUACUGGAUCUUGAUCAGUUACUUGGAUAACUGUGGUAAUUCUAGAGCUAAUACACGCAAUCGAGCUCCGACCUGACGGGACGAGCGCAUUUAUUAGAACAAAACCAAUCGGUGCUUCGGCUCCGUGGUUUGUUGACUCUGAAUAACUGAGCAGAUCGCUUCGGUCUUAGUACCGGCGACGUAUCCUUCAAGUGUCUGCCUUAUCAACUUUCGAUGGUAAUUUAUGUGAUUACCAUGGUUGUAACGGGUAACGGAGAAUUAGGGUUCGACUCCGGAGAGGGAGCCUGAGACACGGCUACCACUUCUAAGGAAGGCAGCAGGCGCGCAAAUUACCCAAUUCCGGUACGGAGAGGUAGUGACGAAAAAUAACAAGACGGAGCUCUUUAGAGUUCCGUCAUUGGAAUGAGAACAAUUUAAACCCUUUAACAAGGACCUAGUGGAGGGCAAGUCCGGUGCCAGCAGCCGCGGUAAUUCCAGCUCCGCCAGUGUAUAUCUAUGCUGCUGCGGUUAAAAAGCUCGUAGUUGGAUCUGCGUGCCUGAAGCCAGUCCACCUAAAUGGUGUGCACUGAACUUCGGCACUGAAUGGACGGUUCGCUCUUGGUGCUCUUAACCGGGUGUCUUGAGUGUCCGUCAAGUUUACUUUGAAAAAAUUAGAGUGCUUAAAACAGGCGGGUUGCCUGAAUAUUCGUGCAUGGAAUAAUAGAAUAGGACUUCGGUUCUAUUUUGUUGGUUUUCGGAACACGAGGUAAUGAUUAAGAGGGACAGACGGGGGCAUUCGUAUUGCGACGUUAGAGGUGAAAUUCUUGGAUCGUCGCAAGACGGACAACUGCGAAAGCAUUUGCCAAGAAUGUUUUCAUUAAUCAAGAACGAAAGUUAGAGGUUCGAAGGCGAUCAGAUACCGCCC
Molecule: ribosomal RNA, 933 nt
Filed under: Nematoda environmental sample
Lineage: Eukaryota; Metazoa; Nematoda
Description: bacterial SSU rRNA
Rfam family: Eukaryotic small subunit ribosomal RNA
Source: RNAcentral